GCCUGAGCUCUUUGGCUUUCUUCCUCAGCUUCUCAUUCUCAAGCAUGAUGCGGCAGUUCUCCCAGAAGAGAUUAGCAUUUUCUUUUUCCAUGAUGAACUGAUAAAGGUAUGUGCAGAACAAUAAUAGUUAAAGAGCAAAUUAGAUAGAAGGGGCUAAAAAAAGAAAAAGGUAAAAGGAAAAUUCUUGUAAUAGGGGAAGAAAGCAGAGAAGUGAAAGUUUUUAUUGCUAAUCAGAUGCAUAUGUUCUUUAUUUCUGUCAAAAUUUUACGUGUAGAAAAUAUUGAAAAUCUAUAUGUUUCACAGGUUGAAGACUACAGUGAGAUAACGGCACAACAUGAUUCAGUCUCUAUCAGAUAACUUGGUGAGUAAUGCAAUGAAACAGUUAAAUAUCUGCCAGAAAAUGCUAUGGGAAGAAAAUGGAUAGAAUGAAUGUGUCGCAUCCUUUGCUCUUUUUGUUAUCAACAAAAUGCUGAAGUAAGAGGAGGAGGCAAUGAUUACUACUCUUUAUCAGCACAUAUGAUAAAAUAACAUGGCAAGAAAUGUACAGUGAUGACAUUUUCUGGGAAGUUGGGUUCCAAGGGGAACAACUUCUUACCGUGUAUUUGAGCUAGAUUGCAGUGGAUGAGGUGGUGUUAAAGGUAAUUAUGCUUUAUAUGAUCUUGGACAUCGUAAUGAGGAGGCUUGGUACAAAUUUGCGUUGGUAGCUCAUCAUAUCCCUCUAUUUAUACCAAAUGGAAUGCAAAAAACUUCAAGAAGAUCCAUCUCUCGCAAAACAACAGUCACCUACCUGUAAAGCCCCAGUUUUGCACUUUUGAUGCAAGGGGAAUGUGUUAGGAUGGACAUUAGUCGUGACAUCAAAUUGAGGAAUAAUUAUAUGUUUUUUCAUAUCUGGAAGAUAUUCUGCUUUAAAUAGCAUCACACGUGAGACUUGCAUUUAGGCAAUGAUUGUGAACUCCUGAGAAGAGCAAAUUCGGGGAAAGAAACAAAAAGACACUUGGGACGUAGUUGGGCAGGCAAGAAAUUAUUGUUAGAAUGAACGAUGGAAAACGGCAAAUUCUGCUGUUUUUGGGCGGAAGAAAAACAUGUAGAAGCAAGGAGUUGAGGGCAGGGGACAGCUGAAGAGAGCAUCUUUUUGUGUUUGGGGGUAAUUCAUGAAAUAAAGCCGAGGGCAAAGUGGGCUGGAGUUGAUGAGAAUUAUGUCCACAAGCGACCAAAUUAGUCACGCUUUCUCGGCCAUUAUCACGCCAUUUUUGCCGAGGUGCCAAGAAUUAAGAGAGAAGCCAAAACGGGUAAAUUCAGAUCCCAUGGGCUGAAUUAUCUUUAAUGCGAAUGGAUUUAAAAAAUCUUUAUCUUAUGACCGACCCAUAGCAAUUACGCACAUAUUUUUAAUCUUUUUUUUUUUAAUUUUCUUUCGCAUACGUCACAACACAAAAAGUGCUGUAAUAAUUAUUUUAAAUAAACUCCUAUCC
Molecule: long non-coding RNA, 1469 nt
Filed under: Coffea arabica (coffee)
Lineage: Eukaryota; Viridiplantae; Streptophyta; Magnoliopsida; Gentianales; Rubiaceae
Description: long non-coding RNA (CARA_LNC000936)
Source: RNAcentral